UCCUCAGUAGCUCAGCUGGUUAGAGCACCUGACUGUUAAUCAGGGGGUCACUGGUUCAAGUCCAGUCUGAGGAG
RNAcentral lists this transfer RNA (74 nucleotides) under Flavobacteriales bacterium. RNAcentral's name for it is "tRNA-Asn". It matches the Rfam family "tRNA". Rfam says of the family: Transfer RNA (tRNA) molecules are approximately 80 nucleotides in length. The record is from RNAcentral. Lineage: Bacteria; Pseudomonadati; Bacteroidota; Flavobacteriia; Flavobacteriales.